This 557-nucleotide long non-coding RNA is filed under the name Ursus maritimus (polar bear). RNAcentral describes it as "lncRNA (ENSUMAG00000002838.1)". The record is from RNAcentral. Lineage: Eukaryota; Metazoa; Chordata; Mammalia; Carnivora; Ursidae.
AAAGGAGAAACUAAAUUGUGUGUCUUUGAUCUUAAGGGGGUGCCUAAUGGACUCUCUCUCAUCAGUCACGAGAAAAAGGAAAGAAUGUAGCAGAGAACCCCAGAAGCAAAACAUCCUGGGCCACUCAGCCCCGUGGUGUGGAUGUGCCUCUAUCAGAUAACGCCUGGAACCAGGCUGAAGGUUCUUCCCAGACCCAGCCCGCAAAAGGCUCAGGAAUUUGUGUGGAAAGUUCCCCGGGGCAAGCACCAGAGGCCCAGUGCUAUCAUUCUGGCUGUCUGACCUUCAACAAAUCGCCUGAACACCAUGAGCCCCCAACCCCCUCAGCUGGAGCUCCUUCCUGCCCUUUCUCCUUGUUUUCGGAAGGAACCCAGAGCCGGUAAGUCAUCUGUAAGGGUCAGGUGCUCACCUUUUUAAGUUCAAAUGCUUUAUUGAGGUACUUAAAGUGUAUUAGAUGUUUUUCCUAAAUAUUCGUGGGUGGGUAUUGCUAGGGUUCCACCUUGCCACGUGAUCGCCAGGGGCCAGAAUGGUCUUCUCACGGCCCCAAAAGGAAAUUGUUC